Molecule: long non-coding RNA, 8188 nt
Filed under: Fragaria vesca (wild strawberry)
Lineage: Eukaryota; Viridiplantae; Streptophyta; Magnoliopsida; Rosales; Rosaceae
Description: long non-coding RNA (FVES_LNC001518)
Source: RNAcentral
AAAGUUCUGUACCAACAAUGCAGCAGAACAAUAUCACGGGAUUGCAGCAAAAUUCCAUAUCUUCUUUAUCUGGGGUUUCAACAGCACGGCGAAAUAAGAUGAAUCCAUUGCAGCCAAGCUCCAAUAUGGAUCCAGGCCAGGGAACCUCACCAAAUUCACUGCAGCAGGUACCUGUGGGCUCUAUCCAACAAAUUCCUGUCGGUGCUCCCCAACAAGCUAACAUGAAUGCCUUAUCAUCACAGAAUGGGAUUAACAUGCUGCAGAACAACAUUAAUCCCCUUCAGUCAAAUCCUGGUAUUCUUCAUAGCCAACAUCUGAAACAGCAGGAACAGCAAUUGUAUCAGAAUCAACUGAUGCAACAAUAUCAACAACGAGUGAUGCAGCAGCAGUUGUUGCAGCAGCGUUUGAUGCAGCAGAAGUUGAUGCAGAAGCAGCAGAUAAUUCAACAACAACAGCAGCUACAACAGCAAGCCAAGCAGCAGCUUCCUGGACAGUUGCAGGCUCACCAAAUGCCACAGCUUCACCAAAUCAGUGAUGUUGAUGAUGUGAAAAUUAGACCGGGGAGUGUUAAGCCAGGGACUUUUUUGUCAGGGGAUGGCUUGCAGCAAAAUUCUGUGUCUUCUUUGUCAGGUGUUUCAACUGCACAACAGAACAUGAUGAAUCCAUUGCAGUCAAGUUCCAACGCUGAUCCAGGACAAGGAGUCUCACAUCAGUUAAAUGCCGGUUUCCUUCAUAACCGAUUUCUGCAGCAGCAACAGCAAUUGAGACUGAUGUUCCUCCAGAGUCAACAGCGACAGCUGCAGGAACAGUUGAUGCAGAAGAAUCAGAUUUUUCAACAAAGACAACAGCAAGAGAUACAGCACCUGCUUCGAAAGUUGGAGCCCGAGCUUCCCCAAGUCAAUGUUGUUAAUGACAUGAACACGAGUGCUUUGUUAUCAUCACAGAGUGAGAGUAACAUGCUGCAGGGAAGCAUUGAUUCCCUUAACUCAAGUUCUCGUAUGGGUGAUAAUAAACAGCAUCAGAAGCAAGAACAGGAGGAGAAAGUGUUUCAGAAUCAACUCAAGCAACCGUAUCAACAGCUACAGAUGCAGCAGCAAUGGACGCAGAAGCCGCAGAUGCUUCAAGAAAAGCAACAGCAGCAGAUACAGCAACUACAGCAACAAACAAAGCAGCAGUUGCAUCAUAUUUAUUUCAUCUAUCUCAUUUUUCUCGCCAUUUUGUUGGGCGCUUACCUUUUCGGGACAGGCUAUUGAUGUAAACAGCCAAGCAGGCAUUGUUCUCCUCUACCUACUAUCACCUGUUCUUUCUAAUUCUGUACCUCUAAACUUGUUGUGAUGUUCUCAGCGAGAACUUUGUUUAGCUGAACGCAAUUGUGAUGUUUUCUUUUGAGGACAAUUUAUGUGUUGGUUCAUUCAGUCAGCCUACAUGCCGUGAUGGUCAAUAUUUUGUUAAAUUUAUGCCUUGAGGAACCCUUCUGGCCCUUUUGUUACUUUGAUGGUCAAUAUGUUGUACGAUUUAAGCUAUUCUCAUGUUCAUCUUCUCAAUUUACAUGGUUAGUUAAAUCGAUUAAUUCAAUUUCUGUGAUCUGGUGAUAGACAUGAGAUGUAACCUGUUACAAAAAAAAAAAAAAACGACAUGAGAUGUAAUCCGCUUUGAGUAUCCCUUCUCCCACAUUUGUGGUAGGAGCUUUGUUAUCUCACAGUUACAUAUACGAACAGCUUCAUGGAGGAUCCUGCUACUCAACUGUCUAAAGGUUCAUUUCAAAGUGCAGCAAACAUUGUACAAGAAUAUCUAGCUGCAUCUGUUGAGGAACCUAUAGGAGAAUCCCCGAAGCAGACUUACGCUUCUAUAGUAUGUAAUGAACAUGGUCGCGGAGGUUACGGCAUCUUUCAAAUCCUUUCUGUAGUUAAAUACACGUUGCUAGCGGACAACCAGUACUAUCUGCAGCUCCUCAGCAUUCAAUUAACAAGAGUAGAGACAACAUAUGAAGCAGAGACAAAAAUCAUUGUAUCGUCCAAUGCACCAGGCAUUCAGAUUGUCAAGAGCUGACUUGCAUUGCUUUUCAAACAACAUUUGAAGGCACUUCCCUUGUCGUAACUGUAGAUUUCUUUGAAUCUGCAGAGGGGGAAGUCACAAAAAUGACACUGCAAAGUACCCAGAGAAACACAGGAAAGCUCAACUCAGUGAGAGAUCGAACUCAGGUCGUUGCGCGCCUUCUUAAGGGUCAAAGGUCAUUAUUACCCCCUACAUAUCCGACUUAUUCACAGAUAGGUUUUCCGGUCUUUUACGUGCAUAUCCUGCCAUUUCUGGCCAUACUAGCCGAUGGCCUGAAGGUUAAGAAUCAUCUAUGAACAAUGAAGUCUUGCUCAUACAUCAAUUGCUAGGUCACACAUUCAAUAAUAUCUUGAUCUAUCAAUGAUAUUUACCCUAUUUGAAGAACAUACUACUGUAACAAAUACCACAAGUGAUUAUUAGAAUAAACGACAUCCAACCGUAUAUUUUAAUUAGUGACACAAUAAAUACAUUUUUACCGUAUAGUUUUAAUUUUACAUAUCCUCUCAUGACUUACUUGUUUUUACUUUAUUUUUUUAUGGGUCAAUAUACCAAGACCGGGAGCCUUCAAUUCUUGACACGUAAAUACAUGAUAUUGUGUAAAUGAUUAAGAUCAAUAACUUUAAUACAGAUGCAUGGUUGUCCAAACAUAUGAAUGUCUAAGAUGGUAAGAUUGCAUUGUGUACUUGUACGCUGUGUAUACAACGUUUAUGUCAAUAUUGUUUAGUUGGCUGGUCAUAAAACACACUAAAAUAAUCAAGAGCUGUGAUUAGAAUUAAGCAGCAUUAAGCAGCAGUCUCCCCGCCCCCCCCCAAAAAAAAUUUCUUCUUCAAUCGUCGUUUGACGGUGGCUAUACGGUCACACAAACCCUAACUAUUUUGUUAGCACUGACUACUCUACACGUAAUCAGUUGUAAUAGAGUAGUCUUCCUUGACUAUUCUUUGGCCAUGAUCAUUGGGCAUAUUAUAUAUAUGAGCUCAUUACAUAAAAAGAAAAAAAUAAAAAUAAAUCUGUGACAAAAAACACACAUAAACUAAAUUUAUACCCACAUUCCUUAAAUUGAAUCCAAGAAUGAAUAACACAUGCAAAUUCUAAGUAACGUAGAGAUUAGUAAACGCCAAAAAAGCCUCUAAAGGUAAAUAUAUCAUAUAAGUACAAUUUUUGGAAAGUAAUAUGAAAUACUUCUUAUUGAGUAUAAACAAACUGUUAACAUGUGUAACGAUUUUAUAACGGUUUUAUCAUACAAAUUUUAACAAUCAUGUUAAUUUUAUGUCAUCGUGAAUAAGCUUACUGAUCCCCACAAAUAAAAUUUUCCUUCUCCAUAUCUUUUCUCCAAAAUCUCCACGCCUACUUCCAAUUUCAAUCUCACUUGGAUUAUAGUUUUGUCCUCAACUCUUGGAUAGCUCCGGUCACAGAACCCAACUCAACCCGACCCGAAUAUCCAAAAACAAACACCUGUAUAUAAAUACGAAAUAUUCUUCUCCUUCUUCUUCGUCUUCGUCUUCGUUUGUAGUCAGAGCUUUUGAAUUUUGAUUUCCAUGGCUUCCAAACCAAACCCCAACAUUGGUUUUCCGAUCAGUCAAUAUUAGAAACCCCAGUAUUUGGCUUACUUUCAAAAUUGGCUUGAUUCUACGAACAAUCCAAAACCCGUUCUCCUGAUUUGAGCUUAACCCCUCACACAAUUUCAAUCUGUUCCCAGUUUUGGGAAUUUCAAAGUUUCAAUCUUUAAAGGUAAAGGUAACUUUUUUAUGUGAAUUUCGUAUUGAAUUUUGAUGGGUUCGGUUUAUUUUUGAUUGUUCGAUUCAGGGUUUUGUGUAAAAUUUCAUGACCAUGGAUUUUGUUUUCUCCGAUUGUUGAGGAUUUGAGAGUUUUGUUUAGAGUUAGGGUUGUGUGUCAAUUGCAAAGGUUUGAUUUUUGCAUGCUUGGAAUAUAGGAAUUGCGUGUUUGAGUUAAUUUAGCUUAAUGGGUUUUGUAGAAUCAAUUCAAAUUUAGCAACUUCUUAUGGAAAUUUUGUGGCUUGAAGAGUUGAAGCUGGUGUUUUGAUCAUUUUUGUGUUUGAAUUUUGGGUUUAUACUGUUUUAGGUUUCGAUGGACACGAAUAAUUGGAGGCCUCCUCCGGGUGGGGAGCCUGCAAUGGAUGCAGGAGAUUGGAGGAGCCAGUUGCAGGCGGAUUCGCGGCAGAGAAUCGUUAAUAAGAUGUUAGUAUAUGCUGAAAUUUUGUGUGCAUCGGUGGUGUUCGUCUUAGAUUAGCUUUUUGUUGUAAUGUUUAAUGAUGGCUUUUUGAAUUUGUUGCAUGUGAAGAAUGGAUACAUUGAAGAGGCAUCUUCCUUUCUCCGGCCAAGAGGGACUGCAUGAACUCAAGAAAAUUGCUGUUAGGUUUGAGGAGAAGAUUUAUACUGCUGCUACGAGCCAGGUACAUUUGGUGUCCUAAUCAUCUAUCACACAUGUUAACAUGUGCAUGCGUGUGUAUCGUCAUGUAAUGAGUUAGAUAUAUAUUGUUUGUUUGUGUGAAGCUAGCAGUUUGAUCUAACUUCUGUCUCUUUUUGUAGUCGGAUUAUCUACGGAAAAUUUCUCUGAAGAUGCUCACUAUGGAGAGCAAGUCUCAGAACACCAUGGGUAAUUCUUUACCAAGCAACUCUGCGGGUAAUAGUAACAGGCCCCCUGAUCCAGGUAAAUUCAUGAUGCAAACCAUCAUCCUAUUACUGCAUUCUAGACCGGAAUUCUUUUGGUAUAAAUUUCUUGUAUUAUAUUUUCUUUCAAAUGAUGGAAUCCUGAAGCCUUCCCAAAAUAAGAAGGAUUGUAUCAUGUAAACUCUGUUGAACAAAAUCGUUUAUUCAUGUCAUUUACUUCGACUUUGCUUUUUCUUUUCUAUGCGAAGCAUAGUUUUAAAGCAUUACAACUUUACUUGAUUCUCUUUGGCGUUUUGUUGUUUUAACUAUUGAUAGCAUUUCUGUCCAAAAGGUAAAUAUUUUUAGCACCAAUUUCUUUUCUUUUGUUGUUUAUUUGUUGUACUUGGCUUGAGUAGGAUCUUUCGGUAUGCAAGCCCAAGCUCCGAAUCAAGGACAGUCACUCUCUAUGCCAGUGCAAGCCAAUCAAUCUCAAACACGACAACAACUGUUAUCACAGAACAUUCAGAAUAACAUUCCGCCCACUGGAGUUCAAAAUUCUGCUGGGUUAUCAUCUGCGCUACCUCCUGCAUCAGGUCUCACCCAGACUCCUAUCCCGAAUAUGGUUGGACAAAGUGCAAACUUGCAAAGUAUGUCGGGGACAUCACAGAAUUCAUUAGGGAACUCUAUGGGUCAAGGGGUAGCAUCAAAUAUGUUUGCUAAUUCCCAAAGGCCAAUGCCAGGAAGACAACAGGUAGUUCCCCAACAGCAACAGCAGCAACCCCAGAAUUCACAGCAGUUUAUGUACCAGCAACAGUUACAACAACAGCUAAUGAAGCCAAAUUUUAAGCCGGGAAACAUCCAACUUGUGCAAAAUCAUAUGCAACAGCAACAACAACAACAGCAGAACUUAUUGCAACCAUCUCAAUUACAAUCUUCUCAGCAAUCUGUUAUGCAACCUCCUGCAGUGCAGUCGUCUCUCUCUAGUCUUCAGCAGAAUCAACAAUCUGCUAUGCAACACUCUUCACAAUCCAUGCUUCAGCAGCAUCCUCAAUCUGUUCUCCGGCAGCAACAGCAGCAGCCUCAACAGUCUUCUGUUGUCCAUCAGCAGCAAACGCCAAUCCCACAGCAGCCACUAUUGCCCCCACAGCAGCAGCAACAACAGCAACAGCCACAGCUUAUGGUGCAACAGCCAAAUUCUACAAACUUGCCGCAGAAUCAGCUUAUUGGACAACAAAACAAUGUAGGGGACAUGCAGCAACAGCAACAGCAGAGGUUACUAAACCAGCAGAAUAAUAUGUUAAACUUGCAACAGCAACAGCAACAGCAACAGCAACAACAACAACAACAACAACACCAAUUAAUGGCUCAGCAAAACAACCUCUCAAAUAUGCAUCAGCAACAGUUGGGCCCUCAGAGUAAUGUUACUGGAUUACAGCAACAGCAGCAAACUGGUAACUCAAGCAUGCAAACUAAUCACCAUCCUGCACACAUGCUGCAAUCCAAGGUUCAGCAACAUCAGAGUUCAUCAUUGCCAACUCAAGGACAUCAGUCCCAACCUCAGGCAUCACAGCAACAAUUAUUAUCACAGAUUCAAUCUCAGCCUGCACAGAUGCAACAACAGAUGAGUAUGCAACAGCAAUCAAACCCGCUACAACGAGAUAUGCAACAAAGGAUCCAAGCAUCAGGUCAGGUAUCAGGAUCUAUGCUUCAACCACCAAAUGUAAUGGAACAGCAAAAGCAGUUAUAUCAGGCUCAAAGACCCCUUCCUGAGACGUCAUCAAGUAUGUUUUCUGCAAUUUUGCAUUUUCCUACUUCUGUUUUACUUCUUAUUUUGGCUAUUUUUAUCCUAUGAUCAAUGUUCUGCAGUAAUGCUUUUUUUAAUUUUAAGGUUAUGCAAAUAUUGAUGUCUAAGUAUGUAUAUUGUGUAGCGUCUCUAGAUUCCACAGCCCAGACUGCUGAUUGGCAAGAGGAGGCCUAUCAAAAGGUGAGGCAUUGGUUCAUUAGGAUGUUAGCUGCUGUAACAACCUGAAAUAAUAGAACUGAAGUAUGAACAUAGUAGACAACAGUAUGUAGCGGGUGGUACAUUAGGUUAACAAUAUUCAGAACAAAAUUAUGUCCACUUGUUUUAUAGUAUUUGAAAGGCAGCGGAGGCAUCGCCUUAGAUUUAGCCAUUUGGGUGGAGAUGGUUCUAACUUUGUAAUACAUCAACUAGGUAUAAAUGGGUAGAAAAUCAAUUUUCCUGGUGUCUCAGAAGAAAUUUGACAUUCACAUAUCUCAUAUGAUUAGAAGGGAACUUGUAGGAAGGUUUGGCAGUCUUUGUAGGGGUUGUCUUAAGUCUCCAUAGUUGAUGUCGGUAGUAAACUAGGAUAGAUGAAAACCAUCUUUAGAAAUCAGGAAAACUUCCUAUUAUUUCCAGAAGAAAAGAUUCCAAGAGUAGAGCAAACAAUGCAUUGCGGAUUUUCUUUGUAUUUCCUAAAUAAUUAACCAAAGAAACUUCUACAGUUCCUCAAAUGCAAAUACUUUUGAAGAUAUUUGACAAGUGAUAAUCUAAGAGAUCUUGUGAUCCAUAGAAUCUGCAAUCAUGUGGAUAAAACAAAUAUCUUUCCAAUUAUAGUAUUUUUUUUUUUUUUUUUUUUUGCAGAUCAAGGUCAUGAAGGAGAUGUACUACCCCGAACUUAGUGAAAUGUACCAAAAAAUUGCUGCUAAACUCCAUCAGGUAUGUUUUCCCAUUUUCUAUCGUGGUACUUCUUAUUCUUUAAGCAGCUGGUGAUAGUCUAUGAUAUCUUUUUCAUGUUAUUGUUUUUCUUUAUAAAUAACUGCAGCCAUGUAGCCUUCCUACAUGGCAUUAUUAUCAACAUGGUAAUAUUAGUGGCUACAAGGUCUUUGGCUUACCACUCUUCUUUCUGUUUGCUAGCAUGACUCUCUUCCACAACAGCCAAAGUCAGAGCAGCUUGAGAAGCUGAAAAUGUUUAAGGCCAUGCUGGAGCGCCUCAUAACAGUCUUACAAAUUUCCAAAAGUAACAUAUCACCUGGAAUGAAGGACAAGUUGGGUGUAUACGAGAAGCAGAUAGUAAAUUUCAUCAAUACAAAUAGACCCAGGAAGCCUGUUUCUACUCUGCAGCCUGGGCAGCUCCCUCCACCGCAUAUGCAGUCCAUGCAGCAGUCACAAUCCCAAAUUACUCAAGUGCAAUCUCAUGAAAAUCAAAUGAACCCACAAUUGCAAUCCAUGAACUUGCAAGGUUCUGUGCCAACAAUGCAGCAGAACAAUAUGACGGGAUUGCAGCAAAAUUCUAUGUCUUCUUUAUCCGGGGUUUCAACAGCACAGCAGAACAUGAUGAAUCCAUUGCAGCCAAGUUCCAAUAUGGAUCCAGGCCAGGGAACCUCACUGAACUCACUGCAGCAGGUCCCUGUGGGCUCUAUCCAACAAACUCCUGUCAGUGCUCCCCAACAAGCUAACAUGAAUGCUUUAUCAUCACAGAAUGGGGUUAACAUGCUGCAGAACAACAUUAAUCCCCUUCAGUCAAAUC